AACACCUCAACUCCCUUUUCUUUUUUGAAAUGGGAGCUGGACUUGAGUGAUCCCAACGCUUCUCUCACCGAGAAGUGGCGGGUUACUUGAAAUGCAGGUGCAGCUGGACUUUUCUCUGAGCUAUAAGCAUAUCUAUUUAGUCUGCCUAAAAAACAGAUUAUUACCUUUGCUGCAGCUAACAUAAAGGAGAUUAGUUCUUGUGCUGACUGAUGCAGGAUUCACAGAGACAGCUUCGGCUGACUUUGUAA
Molecule: unclassified non-coding RNA, 248 nt
Filed under: uncultured Mortierella
Lineage: Eukaryota; Fungi; Mortierellomycota; Mortierellomycetes; Mortierellales; Mortierellaceae
Description: partial internal transcribed spacer 2
Source: RNAcentral